Cornus florida is the source of this 255-nucleotide long non-coding RNA. RefSeq lists it as uncharacterized. The transcript has 2 exons. The record is from RefSeq and is a predicted model, not a curated record. NCBI's taxonomy places the organism in Eukaryota, Viridiplantae, Streptophyta, Magnoliopsida, Cornales, Cornaceae.
UGAAAAAUAGAGGAAACUUACAUAGAGAGUUUGAGGAUAGAGCUGAGAUAGACAGUGAGGGCCGAAGGUUUGAGGCUCCAUUAAUUCAGAUAUUCAUUUUACAAGUUUCAGGUGCCGAGGAUGAACUUGGACUGCUAGUAGCGGGCUUAGGUAGAAGAGUUCGUGUUGAGGAAUUAAUUUAAAUUAUUUAGAGAUGUUAUAUUUUAAUUUUGAGGAAAUUGAUUUAUAUCAAUGAAAUUAUAUUUCUUUUUGAGA